RNAcentral lists this long non-coding RNA (822 nucleotides) under Marmota monax (woodchuck). The record is from RNAcentral. Lineage: Eukaryota; Metazoa; Chordata; Mammalia; Rodentia; Sciuridae.
GCCCUCUCACAACUUAUAGACCUGGAGAUGGGAGAUAGGGACCCCUGUAGAGAGAGCUCAUGAGGCUACAUCAUUGCAGCAGUGUUGGAUGUAGAGGAAGGGAAGAAUAUAGGAGAGGUAGAAUUGGCACGAAUCAGUGGGCAACUAAAUGUCCAAGGCUCCUUGGUGCCCAGGAGUGAGGGCAGACAGGUGGAGCUUAGGAUGCAUCUGCCCUCAAGGUUGUUUCUCGGGUCCAGGCCACAGGGCCCUUCAAGAGAGGAUGAAUCCUAGUUAUAAAGACUGGCUCCUGCUGGGGGAUGGCCUUGCUGAGAUUUCCUAGGUCAUGGGGUAGGGGAUGAGGAAUAAAGGGGUGACUUAAGUUCGGUCUGGUGGACUUCCCCGACCACCAACAGACCAUCAGUGCAGGUGGAAACCUCUGCUGUGAAUGAAAGACCAGUUUAUGCCUCAGCAGUGGGGAACAGUCUAAUGGGAUGGUUGCAUAAAGUGGCCCCUUUAGGGAGCUUUUCCAACCAUAAAGUUACGCAUUUCUUAGAUGUAACUUCCUAGGAAGUUUGAAGAGGAAGAGGAAGGAGGAAUAUGGACAAAUGGAAGCUCAUCAGUCUAACAGCAGAAGAAGUGUAUUUAAAAAGUAAAAUUGAGAGCAGGUGCCAUGCUGUGGGCUUGGAAUUCCAACUACCUUCAGGAGGCUGAAGCAGAAGGAUGGAGAGUUUCAGGACAGCUCAGCAACUUAGCGAGGCCCUGUCUCAAAUUAAAAAAAAAAAAAAAAGAAUUUUACCUUCAUAGCAUGUCUUUUAGUGAUGUUACAAACCCUGUGUUCAUUCC